CGGACAAUGGAGCCCAUGUUUUUUAACUCCUUGUCUCUGAGCCUUUAUUCCUUUCCUCCCUCCCUCUCUCUCUCUCUCUCUCUCUGUCUCUCUCUCUCCCUCUCUCUCUCUCUCUCUGUCUCUGUCUGUCUCUCUGUCUCUCUGUCUCUCCCUCUCUCCUUCUCUAUCUCUCUCUCUCUCUCCUUUUCUCUCUCUCUCUCUGUCUGUCUGUCUCUGUCUCUGUCUCUCUCCUCUCUCUGUCUCUCUCUCUCUGUGUGUCUCUCUGUGUCUCUCUUUCUCUCUCUCUGUCUCUCUCUCUAUCUCUCUGUCUCUCUCUGUCUCUCUGUGUCUCUCUCUCUGUCUCUCUCUCUCUCCCUCUCUCUUUCUCUCUCUCUGUCUCUCUCUCUGUCUCUAUCUGUCUCUCUCUCUCUCUGUGUCUCUCUGUGUCUCUCUUUCUCCCUCUCUCUCUCUCUCUCUCUGUCUCUCUCUCCGUCUCUCUGUCUCUCUCUCUGUCCCUCUCUGUCUGUCUCUCUCCCUCAACCCUCCCCAAGAAAUCCAACAACAUGUUAUAUGCUAUAGGUUGUACAUAUAUGACCAUACGACACAUAUUUCCAUGUUUGUCAUAUUGUGAAAGAAGACACACAUUGCCUACAUGAGAGAAAACUUCGUGGAGGCAAUCAAGUGAAGAAUGGCAUGCUUCAAUCUGCGUUCAGACGUCAUCUGCCCCCUCUAUGGGGGUGCCUAGAGAGCCUUUUGCAUCAUGAGUCCCUUGGAGUUGUCCUGGAUCCUUCCCUUGUUGGAAACAGCGAAGUCAGCCACAGCUGAUCAUACGUUAUUGCUGUUACCCUGGACGGCAUCCUCCAGGUUCUGCUCCCUUCGCUUGGCAUCACUUCACAUCAGUCUUUCCCGGUUUUUUCAAGAUCAUCUUCAUCAUCUCUUAUGGCACAACAGUGUCCCAUCCCAAUCAUAUACCAUAACUUGUCAGAUCGUCUAUUGGGGCAAAGAGAUUAUAAUCGAGAAAAGCCACCAAACCACGGCACUGGGAUGACAAUCUGGGAAGCCGAUCAGUCCUGAUAGUUUCCUCAUAAGGAGGUCCCAGCGCAGAGCCAGACUAAAAAUACCUCCCCGAC
RNAcentral lists this long non-coding RNA (1109 nucleotides) under Monodelphis domestica (gray short-tailed opossum). RNAcentral's name for it is "lncRNA (ENSMODG00000040345.1)". Lineage: Eukaryota; Metazoa; Chordata; Mammalia; Didelphimorphia; Didelphidae. The record is from RNAcentral.